RNAcentral lists this long non-coding RNA (1115 nucleotides) under Falco tinnunculus (common kestrel). RNAcentral's name for it is "lncRNA (ENSFTIG00000015381.1)". The record is from RNAcentral. Lineage: Eukaryota; Metazoa; Chordata; Aves; Falconiformes; Falconidae.
GAAUGGGAUGCCAGACUAGGAAAAUUAUAAUUUCUGUAGGGCAAUAACUGUAUUCCUACAACUUGCCAGGAGGCUGGGGGAGGAAAUUCAAAUUACAGUGAAAACUCAAGUUCUGAUUUUCUAACCUUAGCCUAAGUCAUGACCUGUUCAAAAAGGAGGGUAGAUGAAGAUGUUGACUUCCUUAUCCUAUGGGAUUUUGUGUUGCCAAAUUAAUUUCCAAAUCAAUUUAAUAGAUAAAGUUAACUGUGAACAUAUGGGUAUCUCAGAGAAACUGCACACUGGUUAGGGAAACUAGAGAGGGUUGGGUAAAAUUUUGACUACAUUUCCAGCCAACUGUUGAGACAUAUGGACCGAUGAAUAUGCUCGCUCUUAUUCUAUAAGCACAAUAGACUUUAAAUUAUAAUAAUUCAUUCAAUCCUCUGCAUUGUUCUUUCUUAAAUGUUGCAGGGAUAUUAUUUAAAUAAUACAUUAGCCCUCUCCUCCUCACCGUGGCAGUGGCAGAGCUGCUGUUUGUUUAACCUGACCGCAAGCACAUGAAGCAUCCCAUAGGAUCCAGGAGAGAGGUCCCUGCCUAGAGGAGUCCCUGCGCUGACACAUGGAGAAAGGAGAGACAUCAGCCCCAUUGCAGCCAGCCAGCCCAGAAGGUGCUGGGGCCUGACACCAGCAGGCAGUGGGAGCUACCAGAGGAGCAAGAUUCUGCAGCCCUGCUCGGCCAGGGUCCACCUAACCUCUACACACCCCUUGCUCCUCUAUUUCACCCAUGCUUGGAGGAAAAAAAUGAUAAAAUUAAAAUUCUUGUAACAGGACUGUUUUUUUCAUAAGACUAAUAGAAAAAACAGCUCCUUUACUCUUCAGUAAAAACACCUUUGUUAAUUAUAAGACUCAGACCCAUUCUGGUUUCAAAGCAUAAAUUAGUUUUCUGUUUUUCUUCUGUGCAAGAAUUUUGUUCAUAUAAAUUUCCUACAGUGCAACAGACAGCCUUGUUACUAGACAGGACACACAUAUACUAGAAGAAAAGAAAGGGAUAAAAAAGAAAGAAACAGCAAGAAAGCCACCAAUAAAUCAUUCCAGCCCCCUCUCUUCCUCUGCAGUUAGAAGGGGCUGGGGAUUUUUUG